CCUACGGGGGGCUGCAGUGAGGAAUAUUGGUCAAUGGACGAGAGUCUGAACCAGCCAAGUAGCGUGAAGGAUGACUGCCCUCUGGGUUGUAAACUUCUUUUAUAUGGGAAUAAAAUGUUCCACGUGUGGGAUUUUGUAUGUACCAUAUGAAUAAGGAUCGGCUAACUCCGUGCCAGCAGCCGCGGUAAUACGGAGGAUCCGAGCGUUAUCCGGAUUUAUUGGGUUUAAAGGGAGCGUAGGUGGAUUGUUAAGGCAGUUGUGAAAGUUUGCGGCUCAACCGUAAAAUUGCAGUUGAAACUGGCAGUCGUGAGUACAGUAGAGGUGGGCGGAAUUCGUGGUGUAGCGGUGAAAUGCUUAGAUAUCACGAAGAACUCCGAUUGCGAAGGCAGCUCACUGGACUGCAACUGACACUGAGGCUCGAAAGUGUGGGUAUCAAACAGGAUUAGAUACCCUUGUAGUC
RNAcentral lists this ribosomal RNA (460 nucleotides) under uncultured bacterium. Its description in RNAcentral is "partial 16S ribosomal RNA". It matches the Rfam family "Bacterial small subunit ribosomal RNA", at positions 338 to 795 of the family's 1533-position model. The record is from RNAcentral.